UACGGAGGAGGCAAGCGUUGUCCGGAUUCAUUGGGCGUAAAGCGCGUGUAGGCGGCCAGGUAGGUCUGCUGUGAAAACUCGAGGCUCAACCUCGAGACGUCGGCGGAAACCAUCUGGCUAGAGUCCGGAAGAGGAGAGUGGAAUUCCUGGUGUAGCGGUGAAAUGCGCAGAUAUCAGGAAGAACACCCGUGGCGAAGGCGGCUCUCUGGGACGGUACUGACGCUGAGACGCGAAAGCGUGGGGAGCGAACAGG
This 253-nucleotide ribosomal RNA is filed under the name uncultured bacterium. RNAcentral's name for it is "partial 16S ribosomal RNA". It matches the Rfam family "Bacterial small subunit ribosomal RNA", at positions 524 to 776 of the family's 1533-position model. The record is from RNAcentral.